UGCCUCGCCUCUGUCCCCAGUAGCUGUGGACAGGUUAGCCUCCCAAGAGGAGCUCUGGAGGAAAAGGAUCUGGGCCACUAUUCCCAACACAGCAAGAACUGGCCUUGGGCGUCCCUCAGAGCCUAUGGGCCAGGAGACAUUCUUCUUCCUUUGUCCUAUUAAUGACUUCGUGUGCCUGCCCGAUCCCUGACUGUGAGGAUAAUCUUGUUUGAAGCUGAAUCCCAGCCUACAAAGGAGCGCAUUCCACAGCCCCAGAGCAGCUAUAGAGAAGGCCCGCCUCUGAGUCGCCACCAGACGAGCUGGUGAUAACUGGAGACGAACCUCCUCAGAUGACCUUAAUGUGCGGUGGGGAUCACGCAGAAGAAGGCGCUCUCUAAGGGCAUCGACAGAAUCACCGGCCGCACCAGCAUCGAAACCCUCCAAGGCCUUUUGGAAACCUGCUGGGUCCUGCAGCCUUUUUGGGCAGACCAUCCUAAUAGGUCCAUCACCCCUGCAGGGGUGGAUUGUGCCAUGAUACCAACCUUAACCAGCCCCUGGAAUUGUUGACCAAAAUAUAUAUAUAAUGUGCAGCCUGUGGAUCGUUGCCUUCUAGAGCUGGGCCAAAGGAUGGCUUUAUGGAAAACAUAGGAACUAUCCAUAUAUCAAGAAAGACGCCUUCGGGAUCAUGUGCUUCAACUACUCACCAACAGCACAUCUGAGGAAGGCAAGGGAAGUACAUUUGUAAUUUGUAACUAUAUUAUUUUCCUUACCACUCUGUAUUAGUGCUGGAGUGUGACUCACAGUGUAUCCUCCCCAUUGUUUGCAUCACCUACCAAAAAUACAUCUGUUCAGGCAUGUUGAACUAUAUGAUGCACAAAGUAUCUCUUUGACUAGGACAUUCACAGAGCAUUGUAGCGGCUCUAAAGUGGGGGAUAGGAGCCAAAACAGAUGCGGAUGCCUCUAGAGAUGUAAUUACAAACAUUGACAUUUGCCUAGGUUUUUUCAUUCUUUGUUUCUGUGGCAUACUGUAUUGUAGUUUGUUUUUUUAAAAAUCAUGUUAACUUUACUUUUUUCUUAUUACUGAUUUAAACACUUUUCAGAUGUGUUGUAGUAAAACUGGAGAGUAAACACACAAAUCAAUCAUAUAUAUGUAUAUGUAAAUUAAAUUGAGCCAGAUCUGAAUGCAUUUCUCCAAGUAAGUCUCUAAAGCAAUGCCUAUACCAUCAAGAUGAUGCCUUCCUAUGCUUAAUAGAGAAAUGCUAUCCAGUAUCUCUCUUUGCUCUCUGGGGCCAACUCAAGAUGCUGGGGAUUAAACACAAUACCUUUGUAACACAGGAAGCAUGUUUUCCCAAAGAGGCCUAUACUCAUCAAGAUCUGCUCAGAGUACCACCACCAUAGGAAAUAAAAUCAGUAUGGGCACAGAGCAGGGUCUUCUCCACUGUGGCCUCCUAGUCAUGGAAGUUUGCCACUGCCAGUGGCCAACUCUGUAUUCUUUAAAGAGAACUUCUUUGAAAUCCCAGUAGGCAUUGUUUGAGUUGUGUUCAGCACUAUUUUAAUAAUGUUGUUGUUGACUAUUUCAUUCUUAUCAUGGGUUUGUGUUACUUUAAUGUUGCUAGAGUCUAUACUAGGCAAGACAGGCAGUGUGUAAAUUGGGAAAAUAAAACAAACAAGAAAAAUAA
Molecule: long non-coding RNA, 1658 nt
Organism: Hemicordylus capensis (graceful crag lizard)
Lineage: Eukaryota; Metazoa; Chordata; Lepidosauria; Squamata; Cordylidae
Exons: 6
Source: RefSeq, a predicted model, not a curated record